RNAcentral lists this ribosomal RNA (273 nucleotides) under uncultured bacterium. Its description in RNAcentral is "partial 16S ribosomal RNA". It matches the Rfam family "Bacterial small subunit ribosomal RNA", at positions 524 to 796 of the family's 1533-position model. The record is from RNAcentral.
UACAGAGGGGGCAAGCGUUGUUCGGAAUUACUGGGCGUAAAGGGCGCGUAGGCGGCCUUCUAAGUCAGACGUGAAAUCCCCGGGCUCAACCCGGGAACUGCGUCUGAUACUGGAAGGCUUGAAUCCGGGAGAGGGAUGUGGAAUUCCAGGUGUAGCGGUGAAAUGCGUAGAUAUCUGGAGGAACACCGGUGGCGAAGGCGGCAUCCUGGACCGGCAUUGACGCUGAGGCGCGAAAGCCAGGGGAGCAAACGGGAUUAGAAACCCCAGUAGUCC